Molecule: ribosomal RNA, 253 nt
Filed under: uncultured bacterium
Lineage: Bacteria
Description: partial 16S ribosomal RNA
Rfam family: Bacterial small subunit ribosomal RNA
Source: RNAcentral
GACGUAGGGCGCGAGCGUUGUCCGGAUUUAUUGGGCGUAAAGAGCUCGUAGGCGGCUCAUUGCGUCAACCGUGAAAUCCUGCUGCUCAACGGCAAGUCUGCGGUUGAUACGGGUGGGCUGGAGUUCGGUAGGGGAGACUGGAAUUCCUGGUGUAGCGGUGAAAUGCGCAGAUAUCAGGAGGAACACCGGUGGCGAAGGCGGGUCUCUGGGCCGAUACUGACGCUGAGGAGCGAAAGCGUGGGGAGCGAACAGG